RNAcentral lists this long non-coding RNA (4012 nucleotides) under Homo sapiens (human). Its description in RNAcentral is "HSALNT0182289". Lineage: Eukaryota; Metazoa; Chordata; Mammalia; Primates; Hominidae. The record is from RNAcentral.
CCGCCGCUGCCGCCAGGUCCCGCUCGGUUCGGCGCGGCGCCGUCACGUGUGAGGCUCGCAGCGCGUCCCUUUCGCGCACUUUCUGCGCUCGGCGGCCUCGGCGGCGACUCCGGCCCCUCCCUGGCGCGGGGAUGGGGAAGUUAAGGCAGCGAGCGCCGGUGGGGGUGCGUCCCUUCCCUGGCGGGCACACCUCCUUGUUCUCCCUGCAGGAAUGAAGAGUUGCAUGGGGCUCGCUCGUUUUCUCUGGAGUUAGUUGCGUCCUAUACAGGGUCGUGUCGAGGUCGUCCUAAACCGUGGCCACUUUCCUGAGUGCACAGCCCGCAGUAGCGCCACAAGACCACCUCCCCCCGGCCCCGGCCUCAUCCCCACCUCCAGGGAAGAGUCCAGAGCCACAGAAUUAGCUCCUAGAACGCAACCAACAAGAGUCCAGAUGAACCCGCUCUAUUGGGAAACUCACAGUUUUUCAUCUACUCUGGGCACCACAACGUAUUUGCAGGGGCCACAGCAAAAACUACCCUUGAUCAAGCUACGUGCCCCAGCCUGAAGCACAGCAAAUAAACAUCCUGCACAGAGGCAGUAAAAACAAGGGUACAUCUGACAAAGAAUGCACCACACCUGGACAAUUAUUACACAGCUAUACAGGGUGUGCUUGCACGCACGCAUGAAUACCUGUGCGUGGCACAGGGCCCCAGCGGCGGCUUGCUUAUGAUCCCUCCAAGGUGACCAAGCACUGAGCCACCCUGCCUCAGCAGUAAAAUAGACAUAUUUACCAGUCCCUUCAACCCACAGCCAGGAGCUAGGCAAACACCCACAGAGGAGGGAGGACACACUUUAACCCUACAUUCAGCUUGACGAGCCAAACUCUCUGAACCACAGGAGAUAAAACUUCUGCCAUGGAACUGCUAAGGUAGAUAAUCAGCAACCCCCCAAGACUGUGCCUGCUGCACAACUACAGAACGCAGUGGAAGACACGCUGAAUUCUGAGUCAGAAGGUUGACUUUCUAGCUGUGGGGACUUGGCCAAACCUCCUCAGAGCUUCAGUUUUCUCAUCUGUAAAAUAGAGAUCUUAAUCCCUACCAAUCUCACAGGACUGCUGAGAGUAUCAGAUGAGGUAAGUAUAUAAAAUAGCUGUGCAAAUUUGUGUGAAGGCCUCCAGAGAGAAAUAGUGCAUGCAGGUGGCAUUAGAAACAUAGAUUCUAGUCCUGGCUUUGCAACCAAAUUAUUAUGUAAUUUUUUGUCUUGAUCAUCUUGUCUCUUACGAUUUCUUCAUAAGUUAAAUGAAAAGACACCUUUCAGCCCUGACCACUCCCAAACCUUCAGGACCCCCACUGGGUUGUGAGAUAGGAGCAGCCACAGGCAAGGUCACCCAGGACAGGAGUUAGAGCUGAAUCGUGCAAUAUGAGUGAGGUGUUCCUCUCAGCUUCAAAACCAGCUCUGGGUUGUAAACAAGCUACCACUUCCUCUAUCCCUCUGAAGUAACAUCAAAGUUGGGGUGCAGGAUGGAAGACAGUACCAUAUCCCCCUCUGUCCCAUCUUGCAUGGCCUUGCUCGGAUGCUGCCCAGCAUCAUGACGAAAAUCAACAUGCACGGAAAUGUAAUGAUAGACUCACAGCUGUGUAUAAAACAGUCUUAAGCCUGUUGUCAGACUUUAAACUGCCCUCCUCUGUCCUACUGCCCAUCUUAGGCCACUGGAGAUGGAGGUAGAGGACAAACACACAGAGGUCACAGUGUCCUACAUUUUUAUCCAGGUGGAGUCAUGUUUAAAAUAGCAGCAAGGACAGCCACGAAGAGGAAAAAACUCCCCAAAGCCUAAUUUGACUUCUUUCUGUUCUUUCUCUUCCUGUGGCCUUCUCACAUGCUCACCUCCUGGCUGGCCAACUUCUAUUCAGCCUUCAGGUUUCAGAGCAGCCUCCUUAGGCACCUAGGCUAGGUUACAGCCCUCACUCUAAGGCUCUAGUCCCCUGUAGCCUUUGAUACUUCCUCUCUGGUCACUUGCUUAAUCUCCAUCUUCCUCUUAAUCUACAAGCAGCAGAAUGACAAAACCAGUCUAUCUCAUUCAAGUCUAGACGCCCAGUGCCCAGCAUACUCUUGGCACAUGGUGGCACUCAAUGAUAUUUAUAGGAUGCAUGCAUUUAAAUGAAGGUGAGAAGUGACACCACCUUUGUCCUGGUGGCAAUGGUUGGUUAAGGGGCCAAUGUAGUUGAAUCUCAGAUCUUUUCUUACCACCAUCUGCUUCCCACCUCGUUUUCUCCCCCAAAGCAGGCCUCUCUGAGUCACGCAACCAGACCAGAGUCAUUAAAGCAGAAAAGGGACUUCCCUGCCCUUAGGAUGGUAAACAUUGUUCCCUCUUCCAUGUUACUUUGGCCAAAUAACUACCAUUGACCUCACCAGCUCAGGCAAAAUAGAAAUACCCGCCUGCCCCCAAAGAAAUAACUCCUUCUCCUGCUGUUGCCAAAAUCUACUUCAGUUAGGAAAGCGUCCAAGAUAAUUGAUGAGGUUUAAAAUACAAAUGCACCCAGAGCAUAGAAUAAGUAACUUAUAUUCUCACUCUUGAUUAAAUUAAAUCCAAAGAGGAGUUUCUGGAAAUAGCAGUAAGUUAUUUUGCAUAGCAGUGAUUUACAUUUGCAUAACAUUAUAACAGCAUUAUCUAUCUCAUUCCAUCGCACAGCAACCCUUUGAAGUGGGCCAAAGCGAGAAUUAUUGUCACCCCCAUUUUACAGACCUUAAGCAUUGAAAUUCAGAAAGGAAGACUAUUUGCUUUGCCUAAAGUUAAACAGGCUUGCUAACUUACUGUUAGUAAGGGAUAAAUUUGAACCCAGGCUCCCUUUUUCUGCCACAUCUGAUACCUCUCUUAGGAAGAGAAGAGCUGGUAUUUCAAGUCCUGGGUAUAGUGGAACAGCGGGAAUUAGGGCAGAAAGAAGGAAAGGGAGUGGCUGUAGGCCUCACCUCCUUCACAACUCAGCCCUGCCUUAACCAGCACUGUCUCCCUUCCUAGGUACCUAGCCUAGGUGAGAUGCUGUAUCUGCUUGACCCUCACGCCCUGAUUGGGACAAGUUAGCAGUAAUGUUACAGUUACAAAGCUCACAAGUCCAGUCCUGUUUUCUAUACUUUUCUAGGAGAUGAAUUUAGCGAGGGAUUUGGUUUCCAAUGUGUUUCAAAACCUGUGAGAGAGCGCAAGUUUUAGAAGGUCCCUCAGACAGGCACAGUGACUUAUGCCCUUAAUCCCAGCACUUACAGAGGCCAAGGCGGGAGGAUCGUUUGAACCCAGGAGUUCAAGACCAGCCUGGGCAAUGUGUCGAAACCCCACCUCUACAAAAAAUACAAAAAUGAGCCAGGCAUGGUAGCACAUGCCAGUAGUCCCAGCUACUUAGGAGGCUGAGUGGGGAGGAUCGCUUGAGCCCAGGAGGUCAGGGCUGCAGUGAGCUGAGAUCGCACCACUGCACUCCAGCCUGGGUGACAGAGAGAGACCCUGUCUCAAAAAAAAAAAAAAAAAAAGCCCUCAAGUUUUGGUUCCACUGUUUACCCUUGUCUGGCCUUCAUCCCUGCGUAACUCAACUUCCUGAACUUCUAGAUCAAGAAAGCAUUUAGACCUUUCUCACAAAGUGUGUGAAGCGGGAACCUAGAAGUUUCUUAUAAUUAUGUAGACCCAAGGACAAACCUCCUGACAUAAGACAAUGGGUUGCUGAGGGUCCCUAGGAAAUUACCUCUUUCCCUGGGAAUAUAGAGGAGUAGGACUCCCCCUCCUGGGUUUGAAGUGAAUGAGAGGAACUUAAGCUGAAGAUUAUUUGAAUAUCCCCGUGUAAUUACAUAUCAAGGCUUGUAUCUUCUUCCCUUGAGGCCUUUGCUGUACAUUCACUGGGGAUGCAUGCGUUAGGCACAGACGAGCCUGGGGAUGUGACCAAUCAGCUUGGACACAGCACAGUUGAAAUGUGAUGCUUUGUUUCAGCAGAUGCCUCUGCACUCUCUUAGGGCCAGCAAGACAGGGAAAGCAGACAGUCAGACUAGCUUUUUG